RNAcentral lists this unclassified non-coding RNA (214 nucleotides) under Hevea brasiliensis (rubber tree). Lineage: Eukaryota; Viridiplantae; Streptophyta; Magnoliopsida; Malpighiales; Euphorbiaceae. The record is from RNAcentral.
AAGAUAUCUAUAAUGCAAUAUUAGGAAAAUAAAAGCACGGAUAUGGCAAACUGGAGUUGAGGCCAAGGUACUCCUCGCCCUACCUCCCAUCCAACUGCCCCAAAAAGGAAAGGGAAAAACUAUUGUAAUUUGUACGAAAUGCUGAGGUAAGCAUACACCUCACUAUGCUUUGAUAACCUUCUCUCUGUUUAAUCAGCUCUAUGUUGAUCUUAAU